This 467-nucleotide ribosomal RNA is filed under the name Aphyosemion hera. Its description in RNAcentral is "partial 16S ribosomal RNA". It matches the Rfam family "Bacterial large subunit ribosomal RNA", at positions 1926 to 2551 of the family's 2925-position model. Lineage: Eukaryota; Metazoa; Chordata; Actinopteri; Cyprinodontiformes; Nothobranchiidae. The record is from RNAcentral.
AACGGCCGCGGUAUUUUGACCGUGCAAAGGUAGCGCAAUCACUUGUCUUUUAAAUAAAGGCCUGUAUGAAUGGCAUAACGAGGGCUUAACUGUCUCCUUUCUCCUAUCAAUGAAAUUGAUCUCCCCGUGCAGAAGCGGGGAUUACCACAUAAGACGAGAAGACCCUAUGGAGCUUAAGCCGCAAGAACAGAACAUGUAACUUCUUUUAAUUAAAAUUCGAAACCCCUUGAAACCUGUUCUAGUGUCUUUGGUUGGGGCGACCACGGAAUAAAAAUAAACUUCCAUGAGGAAUAAAGCAUCUUUCCAGCUAAGGGUGACAACCCUAAGAACCAGAAUUUCUGACCACCUUGAUCCGGCAGAGCCGAUCAACGAACCAAGUUACCCUAGGGAUAACAGCGCAAUCCUCUUUUAGAGUCCAUAUCGACAAGAGGGUUUACGACCUCGAUGUUGGAUCAGGACAUCCUAAU